Molecule: ribosomal RNA, 407 nt
Filed under: uncultured bacterium
Lineage: Bacteria
Description: partial 16S ribosomal RNA
Rfam family: Bacterial small subunit ribosomal RNA
Source: RNAcentral
AUUGAACGCUAGCGGGAUGCUUUACACAUGCAAGUCGACCGGCGUGGCGGACGGGUGAGUAAUAUAUCGGAACGUUCCCAGUAGCGAGGGAUAACUCCUCGAAAGAGUGGCUCAUACCCCAUCCUAUUUUAGCUGCCGACAUCGGAUUAGCUAGUUGGUGGGGUAAAGGCUCACCAAGGCAACGAUCCGUAGCUGGUUUGAGAGGACGACCAGCCACAAUGGGACUGAGACACGGCCCAGACUCCUACGGGAGGCAGCAGUGGGGAAUGUUGGACAAGGGGGGAAACCCUGAUCCAGCCAUCCCGCGUGUAUGAUGAAGGCCUUCGGGUUGUAAAGUACUUUUGGCAGAGAAGCGGUAUCUGCAGAAGAAGCACCGGCUAACUACGUGCCAGCAGCCGCGGUAAUAC